UGGCAGACGGGUGAGUAAUGCGUAGGAAUCUGCCUAUUAGUGGGGGAUAGCUCGGGGAAACUCGAAUUAAUGCCGCAUACACCUUACGAGGGAAAGCUGGGGACCUUCGGGCCUGGCGCUAGUAGAUGAGCCUGCGUCUGAUUAGCUUGUUGGUGGGGUAAAGGCCUACCAAGGUGACGAUCAGUAGCUGGUCUGAGAGGACGAUCAGCCACACUGGAACUGAGACACGGUCCAGACUCCUACGGGAGGCAGCAGUGGGGAAUAUUGGACAAUGGGGGCAACCCUGAUCCAGCAAUGCCAUGUGUGUGAAGAAGGCCUGCGGGUUGUAAAGCACUUUCAGUAGGGAAAAAAGCUUGAGGGUUAAUAGCUUUCAAGUGUGAUGUGAACUACAGAAGAAGCACCGGCCAAUUCCGUGCCAGCAGCCGCGGUAAU
This 432-nucleotide ribosomal RNA is filed under the name uncultured bacterium. RNAcentral describes it as "bacterial SSU rRNA". It matches the Rfam family "Bacterial small subunit ribosomal RNA", at positions 96 to 524 of the family's 1533-position model. The record is from RNAcentral.